UACAGAGGUUCCGAGCGUUGUCCGGAAUUACUGGGCGUAAAGGGCGCGUAGGCGGCUUGGCAAGUCCGUCAUGAAAUGUACCGGUUCAACCGGGGCACUGUGUCGGAAACUGCCUGGCUUGAGGUCGAGGGAGGAGAGUGGAAUUCCUGGUGUAGCGGUGAAAUGCGCAGAUAUCAGGAGGAACACCGGUGGCGAAGGCGGGUCUCUGGGCCGAUACUGACGCUGAGGAGCGAAAGCGUGGGGAGCGAACAGG
This 253-nucleotide ribosomal RNA is filed under the name uncultured bacterium. RNAcentral describes it as "partial 16S ribosomal RNA". It matches the Rfam family "Bacterial small subunit ribosomal RNA", at positions 524 to 776 of the family's 1533-position model. The record is from RNAcentral.